RNAcentral lists this transfer RNA (68 nucleotides) under Marmota monax (woodchuck). RNAcentral describes it as "tRNA.Ala". The stretch from base 3 to 63 matches the Rfam family "tRNA", at positions 6 to 65 of the family's 71-position model. From Rfam's summary of the family: Transfer RNA (tRNA) molecules are approximately 80 nucleotides in length. Their secondary structure includes four short double-helical elements and three loops (D, anti-codon, and T loops). Further hydrogen bonds mediate the characteristic L-shaped molecular structure. tRNAs have two regions of fundamental functional importance: the anti-codon, which is responsible for specific mRNA codon recognition, and the 3' end, to which the tRNAs corresponding amino acid is attached (by aminoacyl-tRNA synthetases). tRNAs cope with the degeneracy of the genetic code in two manners: having more than one tRNA (with a specific anti-codon) for a particular amino acid; and 'wobble' base-pairing, i.e. permitting non-standard base-pairing at the 3rd anti-codon position. The record is from RNAcentral. Lineage: Eukaryota; Metazoa; Chordata; Mammalia; Rodentia; Sciuridae.
ACUGUAGUUUAGUGGUAAAGUGUUUGCUUAGCAUGCAAGAGGCCCUGGGUUCAAUUCUAAGCACAGUA